UAGCGCCUCGUGAAUUCAUCUCCGGGGGUAGAGCACUGUUUCGGCUAGGGGGCCAUCCCGGCUUACCAACCCGAUGCAAACUGCGAAUACCGGAGAAUGUUAUCACGGGAGACACACGGCGGGUGCUAACGUCCGUCGUGAAGAGGGAAACAACCCAGACCGCCAGCUAAGGUCCCAAAGUCAUGGUUAAGUGGGAAACGAUGUGGGAAGGCCCAGACAGCCAGGAUGUUGGCUUAGAAGCAGCCAUCAUUUAAAGAAAGCGUAAUAGCUCACUGGUCGAGUCGGCCUGCGCGGAAGAUGUAACGGGGCUAAACCAUGCACCGAAGCUGCGGCAGCGACGCUGAUGCGUUGUUGGGUAGGGGAGCGUUCUGUAAGCCUGCGAAGGUGGCCUGUGAGGGUUGCUGGAGGUAUCAGAAGUGCGAAUGCUGACAUAAGUAACGAUAAAGCGGGUGAAAAGCCCGCUCGCCGGAAGACCAAGGGUUCCUGUCCAACGUUAAUCGGGGCAGGGUGAGUCGACCCCUAAGGCGAGGCCGAAAGGCGUAGUCGAUGGGAAACGGGUUAAUAUUCCCGUACUUGGUGUUACUGCGAAGGGGGGACGGAGAAGGCUAUGUUGGCCGGGCGACGGUUGUCCCGGUUUAAGCGUGUAGGUGUGUGUUCCAGGUAAAUCCGGUUCACUUUAACACUGAGGCGUGAUGACGAGGCACUACGGUGCUGAAGCAACAAAUGCCCUGCUUCCAGGAAAAGCCUCUAAGCAUCAGGUAACAUCAAAUCGUACCCCAAACCGACACAGGUGGUCAGGUAGAGAAUACCAAGGCGCUUGAGAGAACUCGGGUGAAGGAACUAGGCAAAAUGGUGCCGUAACUUCGGGAGAAGGCACGCUGACACGUAGGUGAAGUGAUUUACUCAUGGAGCUGAAGUCAGUCGAAGAUACCAGCUGGCUGCAACUGUUUAUUAAAAACACAGCACUGUGCAAACACGAAAGUGGACGUAUACGGUGUGACGCCUGCCCGGUGCCGGAAGGUUAAUUGAUGGGGUCAGCGCAAGCGAAGCUCCUGAUCGAAGCCCCGGUAAACGGCGGCCGUAACUAUAACGGUCCUAAGGUAGCGAAAUUCCUUGUCGGGUAAGUUCCGACCUGCACGAAUGGCGUAAUGAUGGCCAGGCUGUCUCCACCCGAGACUCAGUGAAAUUGAACUCGCUGUGAAGAUGCAGUGUACCCGCGGCAAGACGGAAAGACCCCGUGAACCUUUACUAUAGCUUGACACUGAACAUUGAGCCUUGAUGUGUAGGAUAGGUGGGAGGCUUUGAAGUGUGGACGCCAGUCUGCAUGGAGCCGACCUUGAAAUACCACCCUUUAAUGUUUGAUGUUCUAACGUGGACCCGUGAUCCGGGUUGCGGACAGUGUCUGGUGGGUAGUUUGACUGGGGCGGUCUCCUCCUAAAGAGUAACGGAGGAGCACGAAGGUUGGCUAAUCCUGGUCGGACAUCAGGAGGUUAGUGCAAUGGCAUAAGCCAGCUUGACUGCGAGCGUGACGGCGCGAGCAGGUGCGAAAGCAGGUCAUAGUGAUCCGGUGGUUCUGAAUGGAAGGGCCAUCGCUCAACGGAUAAAAGGUACUCCGGGGAUAACAGGCUGAUACCGCCCAAGAGUUCAUAUCGACGGCGGUGUUUGGCACCUCGAUGUCGGCUCAUCACAUCCUGGGGCUGAAGUAGGUCCCAAGGGUAUGGCUGUUCGCCAUUUAAAGUGGUACGCGAGCUGGGUUUAGAACGUCGUGAGACAGUUCGGUCCCUAUCUGCCGUGGGCGCUGGAGAACUGAGGGGGGCUGCUCCUAGUACGAGAGGACCGGAGUGGACGCAUCACUGGUGUUCGGGUUGUCAUGCCAAUGGCACUGCCCGGUAGCUAAAUGCGGAAGAGAUAAGUGCUGAAAGCAUCUAAGCACGAAACUUGCCCCGA
Molecule: ribosomal RNA, 1947 nt
Filed under: Salmonella enterica
Lineage: Bacteria; Pseudomonadati; Pseudomonadota; Gammaproteobacteria; Enterobacterales; Enterobacteriaceae
Description: partial 23S ribosomal RNA
Rfam family: Bacterial large subunit ribosomal RNA
Source: RNAcentral